Molecule: ribosomal RNA, 253 nt
Filed under: uncultured bacterium
Lineage: Bacteria
Description: partial 16S ribosomal RNA
Rfam family: Bacterial small subunit ribosomal RNA
Source: RNAcentral
UACGUAGGGGGCGAGCGUUGUCCGGAUUUAUUGGGCGUAAAGAGCGUGUAGGCGGUUCGGUAAGUCUGUCGCGAAAUCCUGAGGCUCAACCUCGGGCGUGCGAUGGAUACUGCCGGGCUAGAGGGUGGUAGAGGCGAGUGGAAUUCCUGGUGUAGCGGUGAAAUGCGCAGAUAUCAGGAGGAACACCGGUGGCGAAGGCGGAUCUCUGGGCCUGAUCUGACGCUGAGGCGCGAAAGCUAGGGGAGCGAACAGG